Long non-coding RNA from Symphalangus syndactylus (siamang), 328 nucleotides. RefSeq lists it as uncharacterized. NCBI's taxonomy places the organism in Eukaryota, Metazoa, Chordata, Mammalia, Primates, Hylobatidae. The record is from RefSeq and is a predicted model, not a curated record.
UGCAAAUCUGCAUUUCUAAUGUUUCCAGGUGAUGCGUUGCUGCCAUCUGAGGGCUGUGCUUUGAGUAGCAAAUCUCUGGAGCGUCCAUCAUCCUUACUCCCCUGGUCAGGAAGAUUAUAUGAUACAACCAGCAAACCUUCGAGCCUGUCCCUGAAACCCACAAGAAGUAGCCAGCACACUGUAACCCGGCAUUCUCCAUUGGACCCUGAAGCUCAAGAGAGAAUGAUGUGUGGUUUCCUGGCCAGCUACUUCGUGACCAAAUAACCUCACAGAGUCACCUGGCUUGAGGCCUCAUAGAGGAGCCCUCAGUGCUGACCACACACUACAG